This is a long non-coding RNA of Bombina bombina (fire-bellied toad), 260 nucleotides long. RefSeq lists it as uncharacterized. NCBI's taxonomy places the organism in Eukaryota, Metazoa, Chordata, Amphibia, Anura, Bombinatoridae. The transcript is spliced from 3 exons. The record is from RefSeq and is a predicted model, not a curated record.
AUCUAUUUCGAUGCCCUCUACAGACACAUCUACUUCUUUAUAUGCAGCUCACAACUAGAAAAUCCAAACUUCCUGAUGAGGAGCAACCAAACAUCAGCCCCGUCAUCAGGAAAGCUUCUCUGAAAAAGGAGAAGAGGAUAAAAAAGAAAACAAAGAAAGAAAAGAAGGAGAAAAAGGACAGAAAGAGGGAGAGGAAGAGGGGGGGAAAGGAGGCGGAACAGAAGGAGGAAGUUAAGGUGCAGGAAAAGAAGGAUGAAAAA